CAGUCGAACGGCAGCACGGGAGCAAUCCUGGUGGCGAGUGGCGAACGGGUGAGUAAUAUAUCGGAACGUGCCCAGUCGUGGGGGAUAACGCAGCGAAAGCUGUGCUAAUACCGCAUACGAUCUCUGGAUGAAAGCGGGGGACUCAGUAAUGGGCCUCGCGCGAUUGGAGCGGCCGAUAUCAGAUUAGCUAGUUGGUGGGGUAAAAGCCCACCAAGGCGACGAUCUGUAGCUGGUCUGAGAGGACGACCAGCCACACUGGAACUGAGACACGGUCCAGACUCCUACGGGAGGCAGCAGUGGGGAAUUUUGGACAAUGGGCGCAAGCCUGAUCCAGCAAUGCCGCGUGCAGGAUGAAGGCCUUCGGGUUGUAAACUGCUUUUGUACGGAACGAAACGGUUCGCUUUAAUACAGUGGGCUAAUGACGGUACCGUAAGAAUAAGCACCGGCUAACUACGUGCCAGCAGCCGCGGUAAUACGUAGGGUGCGAGCGUUAAUCGGAAUUACUGGGCGUAAAGCGUGCGCAGGCGGUGAUGUAAGACAGAUGUGAAAUCCCCGGGCUCAACCUGGGACCUGCAUUUGUGACUGCAUCGCUAGAGUACGGUAGAGGGGGAUGGAAUUCCGCGUGUAGCAGUGAAAUGCGUAGAUAUGCGGAGGAACACCGAUGGCGAAGGCAAUCCCCUGGACCUGUACUGACGCUCAUGCACGAAAGCGUGGGGGAGCAAACAGGAUUAGAUACCCUGAUAGUCCACGCCCUAAACGAUGUCAACUGGUUGUUGGGUCUUCACUGACUCAGUAACGAAGCUAACGCGUGAAGUUGACCGCCUGGGGAGUACGGGCCGCAAGGUUGAAACUCAAAGGAAUUGACGG
This 867-nucleotide ribosomal RNA is filed under the name uncultured bacterium. RNAcentral describes it as "bacterial SSU rRNA". It matches the Rfam family "Bacterial small subunit ribosomal RNA", at positions 59 to 916 of the family's 1533-position model. The record is from RNAcentral.